UGCCUGUCAAGCACAGCCCCUCCACGCCGAACAUUCCUGAGCUUUCCUGGGCCUUUGACCUACAAGAGGAAGGAAUACGCAGAGAGACGGAUACUCGGAUCUCGUUCGAAUUCCAUUCAUGCCUGCACUCGCAGCUUGCCAGUCUUCUUUGACGAGGUGGUGAAGCAGAUGGUGGCAGCAUUUGAGUGCCAGGCCGGCAAACUGAGACGAGGAUCCCCCGGGAGCUGAUGUUUCACAAGGUUCACCAGACGUGAGCGGGACAGUCAGCGGCACAGGACCCGCUCGAGACAAAAGCUGACGACCCUGUACCUGUUUUUUUUAAAACUUCUAUUUAUUCAUCACUGUUCUACGUUAUAAUGGCACUAAUUUAUGAAGAGACGGACCUGCCAUCGACAGACAGACUCAGGUUUGUGUGUUGCAAAGAGAGAAAAAUCCAGUGGAGGUCACGAGGUUACGCGAUGCGGCGCGAGGGGAAGGGGUUUCCCAGGCGGCUGUUGCUCUGGAUUCCAUCUGGGAACUUGCACCGAAGGGGCCUGAGCCUGAGCAGGACCCUGAGAGCAAAUCUUAGUGCUCAAUAUUUUUAUUUUUUUUAAAUUAUUUUGUUUAAAAAAGGAAAUUGUGCGUGUGCGGAGUGUUUGCGGGGUGGAGCGUGCGGGGCAUAUGCAGAGCGUGUGCGGGGCGGAGCGUGUGCAGGGCCUGGGUGGAGCAUGUGCAGGGCAGAGCGUGUGUGGGUGUGUCUUGAGGGUGUGUGUAGUGCCUCCCAUCAGAAAUGCUUCCGUUUGUGGGCAGUUGUUGGUUUUCUUAUAACUAUCUUGUUUUUCUGCAUAAAGAACCACAAAAGCAUU
Callorhinchus milii (elephant shark) is the source of this 845-nucleotide long non-coding RNA. RefSeq lists it as uncharacterized. The record is from RefSeq and is a predicted model, not a curated record. Lineage: Eukaryota; Metazoa; Chordata; Chondrichthyes; Chimaeriformes; Callorhinchidae. The transcript has 2 exons.